RNAcentral lists this ribosomal RNA (117 nucleotides) under Oscillospiraceae bacterium. The record is from RNAcentral. Lineage: Bacteria; Bacillati; Bacillota; Clostridia; Eubacteriales; Oscillospiraceae.
GUCGGUGUUAAUGGCAAAGAGGUCCCACCUGUUCCCAUUCCGAACACAGAAGUUAAGCUCUUUUACGUCGAAAAUACUCGGUUGGCGACGACCCGGGAAGAUAGAUAGACGCCGGCA